CCGAGUUUACAACUCCCAAACCCAAUGUGAACAUACCCCUAUGUUGCCUCGGCGGGACCGCCCCGGCGCCCUCGGGCCCGGAACCAGGCGCCCGCCGCAGGACCACAAACCUCUGUUUUUGUUAAGAUUUCUCCUCUGAGUGGAUUUUACAAAUAAAUCA
This 160-nucleotide unclassified non-coding RNA is filed under the name uncultured Myrothecium. RNAcentral's name for it is "sequence contains ITS1". The record is from RNAcentral. Lineage: Eukaryota; Fungi; Ascomycota; Sordariomycetes; Hypocreales.